GGGUGUAGCUCAGUGUUAGAGCACUUGCCUCAUAGGCAUGAAGCCCGGGGUUCCACCCAGCACCACCA
Molecule: non-coding RNA, 68 nt
Organism: Ictidomys tridecemlineatus (thirteen-lined ground squirrel)
Lineage: Eukaryota; Metazoa; Chordata; Mammalia; Rodentia; Sciuridae
Source: Rfam